Molecule: ribosomal RNA, 236 nt
Filed under: uncultured Lactobacillus sp.
Lineage: Bacteria; Bacillati; Bacillota; Bacilli; Lactobacillales; Lactobacillaceae
Description: partial 16S ribosomal RNA
Rfam family: Bacterial small subunit ribosomal RNA
Source: RNAcentral
GCCCCACUAGUCUGGGAUACCACUUGGAAACAGGUGCUAAUACCGGAUAAGAAAGCGGAUCGCAUGAUCAGCUUUUAAAAGGCGGCGUAAGCUGUCGCUAUGGGAUGGCCCCGCGGUGCAUUAGCUAGUUGGUAAGGUAAAGGCUUACCAAGGCGAUGAUGCAUAGCCGAGUUGAGAGACUGAUCGGCCACAUUGGGACUGAGACACGGCCCAAACUCCUACGGGAGGCAGCAGCG